Molecule: ribosomal RNA, 293 nt
Filed under: uncultured bacterium
Lineage: Bacteria
Description: partial 16S ribosomal RNA
Rfam family: Bacterial small subunit ribosomal RNA
Source: RNAcentral
GUGUCAGCAGCCGCGGUAAUACGAAGGGGGCUAGCGUUGUUCGGAAUUACUGGGCGUAAAGCGCGCGUAGGCGGCUUUGCAAGCCAGAGGUGAAAUGCCUGAGCUCAACUUAGGAAUUGCCUUUGGGACUGCGAGGCUUCGAGGACUGGAGAGGUGAGUGGAAUUCCCAGUGUAGAGGUGAAAUUCGUAGAUAUUGGGAAGAACACCAGUGGCGAAGGCGGCUCACUGGCCAGUUUCUGACGCUAAAGUGCGAAAGCGUGGGGAUCAAACAGGAUUAGAUACCCCCGUAGUCC